RNAcentral lists this ribosomal RNA (465 nucleotides) under uncultured bacterium. Its description in RNAcentral is "partial 16S ribosomal RNA". It matches the Rfam family "Bacterial small subunit ribosomal RNA", at positions 28 to 507 of the family's 1533-position model. The record is from RNAcentral.
GACGAACGCUGGCGGCGUGCUUAACACAUGCAAGUCGAACGGAAAGGCCCUGCUUGCAGGGUACUCGAGUGGCGAACGGGUGAGUAACACGUGGGUGAUCUGCCCUGCACUUCGGGAUAAGCCUGGGAAACUGGGUCUAAUACCGGAUAGGAGCCAUUUUUAGUGUGAUGGUUGGAAAGUUUUUUCGGUGUGGGAUGAGCUCGCGGCCUAUCAGCUUGUUGGUGGGGUAAUGGCCUACCAAGGCGGCGACGGGUAGCCGGCCUGGGGGGGUGGACGGCCACAUUGGGACUGAGAUACGGCCCAGACUCCUACGGGAGGCAGCAGGGGGGAAUAUUGCACAAUGGGCGCAAGCCUGAUGCAGCGACGCCGCGUGGGGGAUGACGGCCUUCGGGUUGUAAACUCCUUUCGCUAGGGACGAAGCUUUUUGUGACGGUACCUAGAGAAGAAGCACCGGCUAACUACGUG